Molecule: ribosomal RNA, 252 nt
Filed under: uncultured bacterium
Lineage: Bacteria
Description: partial 16S ribosomal RNA
Rfam family: Bacterial small subunit ribosomal RNA
Source: RNAcentral
GACAUAGGUGGCAAGCGUUAUUCGGAAUUACUAGGCGUAAAGCGAGUGUAGGCGGACGAUUAAGUCCGAUGUUAAAUCUCCAGGCUUAACUUGGAGUCGCAUCGGAUACUGGUCGCCUCGAGUGGGGUAGGGGGCAGCGGAAUUCCCGGUGUAGAGGUGAAAUUCGUAGAUAUCGGGAGGAACACCAGUGGCGAAGGCGGCGACCUGGGCCAAUACUGACGCUGAGGUGCGAAAGCGUGGGGAGCAAACAGG